This 441-nucleotide ribosomal RNA is filed under the name uncultured bacterium. Its description in RNAcentral is "partial 16S ribosomal RNA". It matches the Rfam family "Bacterial small subunit ribosomal RNA", at positions 338 to 795 of the family's 1533-position model. The record is from RNAcentral.
CCUACGGGGGGCAGCAGUGGGGGAUAUUGCACAAUGGGGGGAACCCUGAUGCAGCGACGCCGCGUGGGUGAAGGAGCGUUUCGGCGCGUAAAGCCCUAUCGGCAGGGAAGAAGAAGGACGGUACCUGACUAAGAAGCCCCGGCUAACUACGUGCCAGCAGCCGCGGUAAUACGGAGGGUGCGAGCGUUAAUCGGAAUUACUGGGCGUAAAGCGCUCGUAGGCGGUAUGUCAAGUCAAGGGUGAAAUCCCCGCGCUCAACGUGAGAACUGCAUUUGAAACUGGCAAACUGGAGUGUGUGAGAGGAUAGUGGAAUUCCAGGUGUAGGAGUAAAAUCCGAAGAGAUCUGGAGGAACAUCAGUGGCGAAGGCGACUAUCUGGCACAUAACUGACGCUGAGGAGCGAAAGCGUGGGUAGCAAACAGGAUUAGAUACUCUUGUAGUC